RNAcentral lists this ribosomal RNA (911 nucleotides) under Pseudodiplodia ruticola. Its description in RNAcentral is "LSU rRNA". It matches the Rfam family "Eukaryotic large subunit ribosomal RNA", at positions 38 to 966 of the family's 3401-position model. The record is from RNAcentral. Lineage: Eukaryota; Fungi; Ascomycota; Dothideomycetes; Pleosporales.
GCAUAUCAAUAAGCGGAGGAAAAGAAACCAACAGGGAUUGCCCUAGUAACGGCGAGUGAAGCGGCAACAGCUCAAAUUUGAAAUCUGGCGUCUUUGGCGUCCGAGUUGUAAUUUGCAGAGGGCGCUUUGGCAUCGGCAGCGGUCCAAGUUCCUUGGAACAGGACGUCACAGAGGGUGAGAAUCCCGUACGUGAUCGCUAGCCUUUACCGUGUAAAGCCCCUUCGACGAGUCGAGUUGUUUGGGAAUGCAGCUCUAAAUGGGAGGUAAAUUUCUUCUAAAGCUAAAUACUGGCCAGAGACCGAUAGCGCACAAGUAGAGUGAUCGAAAGAUGAAAAGCACUUUGGAAAGAGAGUUAAAAAGCACGUGAAAUUGUUGAAAGGGAAGCGCUUGCAGCCAGACUUGCCUGUAGUUGCUCAUCCGGGUUUCUACCCGGUGCACUCUUCUAUAGGCAGGCCAGCAUCAGUUUGGGCGGUUGGAUAAAGGUCUCUGUCAUGUACCUCUCUUCGGGGAGAACUUAUAGGGGAGACGACAUGCAACCAGCCCGGACUGAGGUCCGCGCAUCUGCUAGGAUGCUGGCGUAAUGGCUGUAAGCGGCCCGUCUUGAAACACGGACCAAGGAGUCUAACAUCUAUGCGAGUGUUUGGGUGUCAAGCCCGAACGCGUAAUGAAAGUGAACGGAGGUGGGAACCUUUCGGGGUGCACCAUCGACCGAUCCUGAUGUCUUCGGAUGGAUUUGAGUAAGAGCAUAGCUGUUGGGACCCGAAAGAUGGUGAACUAUGCUUGAAUAGGGUGAAGCCAGAGGAAACUCUGGUGGAGGCUCGCAGCGGUUCUGACGUGCAAAUCGAUCGUCAAAUUUGGGCAUAGGGGCGAAAGACUAAUCGAACUAUCUAGUAGCUGGGUUCCUGCCGAGU